This 1551-nucleotide long non-coding RNA is filed under the name Homo sapiens (human). RNAcentral describes it as "HSALNT0399093". The record is from RNAcentral. Lineage: Eukaryota; Metazoa; Chordata; Mammalia; Primates; Hominidae.
AAAAAAAAAAAAAAAAAAAGGAAAAGAAAAGUAAAAAGAAAGUGAAAGAAAGUGGGGGGAAUUUCUAAAAGUUCUGGAGGUGGAUGGUGGUGAUGGUUGCACAACAGUGUGAAUGUACUUAAUGCCACUGAACUGUAUACUAAAAACUGGUUAAAAUGGUAAAUGUUAUGUCUAUUUUCUCACAAUAAAGAAAAGAACAUAAAUAAUAAGCAAUGUUGGGAAAGACAUGAUUAAACUAGUAUCCUAUAAAGAAAACGUGGCACAUAUAUACAAUGGAGUACUAUUCGGCCACAAAAAAGAAUGCAAUCCUGCCAUUUACAGCAACAUGGAAGAACUGGAGGUCAUUAUGUUAAAUGAAAUAAGCCAGGCACAGACAAACAAACAUUACAUGUUCUCACUUAUUUGCAGGUGCUAAAAAUCGAAACAACUGAACUAAUGAGGACAGACAGUAAAAGGAUGCUUACCAGAGGCUGCAAAGGGUAGUGAGGCGUGGCAGGGGAGUGGGGAUGGCAAAUUGGUACAAAAAAAUAGAGUAAGACCUAGUAUUUGAUAGCACAACAGACUGUAGCCAAUAAUUUAAUUGUACAUUUUAUAAUAACUAAGAGAGGUUAACUGGAUUGUCUGUAACACAAAGGAUAAAUGCUUGAGGGGAUGGAUUCCCCAUUCUCCAUGAUGUGAUUAUUACGCAUUGCAUGCCUGUAUCAAAGUAUUUCAUGUACCCCAGAAAUAUAUACACCAACUAUGUACCCGCAAAAAUAAAAAAUAAAAAUUAAACAAACUAGUAAGCUAGUACGUAGCACUGAGAAAGCAAUGUGGCAAUAACGUUUCAACCAUCCCAAACUUUUCUGACCCUUUGGUACCCAUCCCACUUCUUUAACUUUAUCCCAAGAAAAUAAUAUAUAAGAUGCACCAGCCAGGAAUGAUGGAUCACGCCUGUAAUCUGAACACUCUGGGAGGCCGAGGCGGGCGCAUCACGAGGUCAGGAGUUCAAGACCAGCCUGGCCAACAUGGUGAAAACUCGUCUGUACUGAAAAUACAAAAAUUAGCUGGGCAUGGCGGUGUGCGCCUCUAGUCCCAGCUACUUGGGAGGCUGAGGCAGGAGAAUGGCGUGAACCCGGGAGGCGGAGCUUGCAGUGGGCUGAGAUCGCGCCAUUGCACUCCAGCCUGGAUGACAGAGUGAGACUUCAUCUCAAAAAGGAAAAAAAAAAAAAAUUUGCCCAGAGAUACUGAAGGAAAUAAGAUAAAAUGCAAUUGGAGGAUUUCCUGGGUUUGUGGGUGAUUUUCUCUCUGAUUUCUGCUCUGGUUCUAUGUGGUGAGGCAUAUUUUUCUGUUUUUGUAAAAACAACCUCCACUACAUUACUUGGCUGAUCCCUGCCUCCUUCUCUCUGUCACACUUGACCAUUUUCUGAGACUCACAUCAACUCCAGUGGGCUCCAGGGAAGUUCAUGCAGCCCUUUGGCAUGAACCUGGCCCCAGCAUAAUGCCCCUUGGCUGGGGUGGACUCCACAGGGAAACCUCUAAGCAAAUGGCUAUGGGUGCUGGGGACAUAUG